UACGUAGGGGGCAAGCGUUAUCCGGAAUUACUGGGUGUAAUGGGUGAGUAGGCGGCAUGGUAAGCCAGAUGUGAAAGCCUUGGGCUUAACCCGAGGAUUGCAUUUGGAACUAUCAAGCUAGAGUACAGGAGAGGAAAGCGGAAUUCCUAGUGUAGCGGUGAAAUGCGUAGAUAUUAGGAAGAACACCAGUGGCGAAGGCGGCUUUCUGGACUGAAACUGACGCUGAGGCACGAAAGCGUGGGGAGCGAACAGG
This 253-nucleotide ribosomal RNA is filed under the name uncultured bacterium. RNAcentral describes it as "partial 16S ribosomal RNA". It matches the Rfam family "Bacterial small subunit ribosomal RNA", at positions 524 to 776 of the family's 1533-position model. The record is from RNAcentral.